RNAcentral lists this ribosomal RNA (749 nucleotides) under uncultured archaeon. Its description in RNAcentral is "bacterial SSU rRNA". It matches the Rfam family "Archaeal small subunit ribosomal RNA", at positions 8 to 758 of the family's 1478-position model. The record is from RNAcentral.
UUGAUCCUGCCGGAUGCUACCUGCUAUUGGAGUUCGAUUACGCCAUGCGAGUCGAGAGUCCUCGUGGACUCGUGCGUACCUGCUCAGUAACACGUGGGUAACCUGCCCUAUGCUGGGGAAUAACCUCGGGAAACUGAGAAUAAUGCCCCAUAGCCCACUACGCCUGGAACGGUGAGUGGGUCAAAGCUCCGGCGGCAUAGGAUGGGCCUGCGCCGUAUCAGGUUGUAGGGGGUGUAAAGUACCCUCUAGCCAUCAACGCGUACGGGUGUUGGGAGACAUUGCCCGGAGAUGGAUUCUGAGACACGAAUCCAGACCCUACGGGGUGCAGCAGGCGCGAAAACUUGGCAAUGCGAGAAAUCGUGACCAGGGAACUCCAAGUGCGUAGGGUAAGACCUACGCUUUUCUUGACUCUUCAAAGGUCUUGGAAUAAGGGGUGGGUAAGGACGGUGCCAGCCGCCGCGGUAAUACCGGCGCCUCAAGUGGUAGUCGCUUUUAUUGGGCCUAAAACGUCCGUAGCCGGUCUGGUGCAUUCGUGGGUCAAUCAAGCCGCUCAACGGGUUGAAUUCUGCGAGCACGGCCAGACUUGGGACCGGGAGAGGUGUGGGGUACUCUCAGGGUAGGGGUAAAAUCCUGUCAUCCUGAGAGGACCACCUGUUGCGAAGGCGCCACACUAGAACGGAUCCGACGGUCAGGGACGAAACCUAGGGGCACGAACCGGGAUUAGAUACCCGGGUAGUCCUAGUGUGUAC